AUAAAGGUGGAUGUCCGAAGUUCGAAUCUCGGCACUUAUUAAGCAACCAAAUAUAGAUAAUUAUCAUGGAACUUGGGUAGGCAAUAUCUUAAAAAUAUAUACAAAAAAAAUAUUUUUGAAAGUUAUAAAAAAUUAACUUAAAAAAGUUAUAAUAAAUAUAAAAUUUAUUUUUUUAUUUUCUAAAAAUAAAUACUCGUAGUUUCUCAUAUGAGUAUUAAAAAGUUGACCGGUAGUAGAAGUGAGACAGGGAAGUACUGUUUGUUGACAACUUUUUUUCAUCACUCGUGUCAUGUUAUCAUUGGUUCCAAAUUAACGGGAGUUUAUUUUCAAUAAAAAAGUAAGCUGACAUAUUGUACCUUUGUUUUGUACGAAAGAUCCAAGUAUGAGUCUAGUUAUACUAUACUAGGGAUGUUGAUUGCAUGUUGUCAAAAACUCACACAGUUUGGUGCCGUAAAGUCCAAAAAUCUUAACUCAAUUAAUAAAAAUAUCUAAAUUGUUAGGUCGGACACGGAUCCGGAUCCUUUCCUGUCUUUCCUCUCCAGUUUUAUGUUCUGUGUAGAUUUGAACUGUCCAUCAAUGAUACUAUAGUAUUGACCGUUAAUAUUUAAUAAAAAUCAAUGGUUGAGAUCAAAUAGGACCAUUCAGUGAAUGGAGAGGAUCCAAACACCACGACUAAAGUGGUUUCUGCACUAUGUGCGUGUGAGUUUACAAUGACUUGUCGAUAAAAAAAAAUAUUGCCAUAAAAAUGUAGGGUAGAUUGACCAAAAACAAUAAAGAGGUAGAGACGUAGAGCAGAACAAAUAAUUUAAUGAAAACGAAUAUACUAACACAAGGAAGAUACCAUGAUUUUAAUGUUUAUAAGCUUUCUUUGAAUUUUUUCAGGUGGUCCAUGAUAGCUAGCCACUUGCCAGGAAGAACCGACAAUGAAAUUAAAAACCAUUGGAAUUCUCACCUAAGCAGAAAAAUUUACAGUUUCUCCAAAAUAUCCAACACUACGGAGCCAAAGAUUAUAGAUAUUCCUCCUCCUAAGCGUAAAUGUGGCAGAACAAGUCGUUGGGCAAUGAAGAAAAACAAAAACUACAAAAAACAAAUCGUCACUAAUACUAACAAAACCGUCACUAAUAUUGAAGAUACUGUCACUAUUGAAACUGAAGUUCAAAUUCCACGGACACCGUCACUAGAAAAUGAGGUUGAGGUGGUAAAAACAACAUAUGAAGAAGAGAAAGAAGACACUUGUGAUUAUGAAUCAUGUGACGACAUCAUAGUACUGAGUGAAUUAUUAGAUAGCAUUAAUGAAGAUAGUGGGAUGGAAAAUUGUUUGGUGAAAACAUGUGGUACUGUUUCAAAUUUAAGUGAAGAGAGAGAAAUGGUGGGUGAUAUGGUUAUGGGUGAAGAGAAUGAUGUUGAUGUGUGUCUUAAAAAUCAUAAAUUGGAUUCAUGUGAUAGUAGUGUGAAUAAUUACCAAAGCAGCUCUAACAAUGGGGAAAUUAGUGAUGAAUGGUCCUCAAUGGGAUUAAAUUUUGAUCAUGAUGAUAAAUGGAAUUGGGAAAGUGUGAUGGAGUUUAAUAUUUUUGAUGAUGAUAAUGAUGAUAGUUUUAGGGAGCAUAAAGAAAAGAUUUUGAAAUUGUUGUAUGAAGAUGAUGAUAAUAAGAUGUUGGGAGAGAUUGAUCCUCAGAAACAAAAUGAUUUGAUUGCUUGGUUUCUAUCUUGAAUAAAGAAUGCAUGCAUGUAUGUGUUCUGUUUUUGUGUGUUGAGAAUUUUUCUUUUGUAUGGGUUUUAGUGUGUAGUUUUUUUUCUUAGUGAUGAUUUAGUGUGUACAUCCUCCCUCCCUUCAUUAUUAUAAAUAAAAUUUAUUUUUUAAAUCAUUAAAUAGUUGAUGUAUUUAACAUGGAUCAUAUACAUGCGUGGAUUAAGAUAAGAAGAAAAAAAUUAAGAAAAAAAAAAAGAUAAGUUAUAAGCUAUAAAUUAUAAAUUAUUUGAAGUGGCUUAUAAAAAAAUAUUAUAGACUAAUUAGAAAAUGGAGAUUUUUUAGGGUUUUUUCUAAUCCACUUUAUAAUUUGAGUAUAUUUACCCAUCAACACAUGACAAUAAGUCACAUGCAAAUCCAAAAAUUUGUUACAAAUUAGUUGUGGGUACCACAAGCAAAUUCACUUAUGUGAAUUGUUUUCAUUGGUUGAUAAUGUAAGUUAGGGAUGACAAUGGGUAGAGUAUGGAUAUGGUAUUAUAGUACUCAUCUCCAUACCCACAGUUUGAAAAAAUAUCCGUACUCAUCCUCAUAUCCGUGUGGGUAACAAUCUUUGUACACGUUAUCAUACUCUAUGGGUACCUAAGUACUCAUACUCGUAUCUGUUACCCGCAUUUUUGCUAAAAAUAAAUCGAUCAAUUAUAAAAUAUCAUAUCAUUUUAAUAUAAUUAAUUUUUAAAAAAAAAAAUUAAUGUUGACUCAUGAAAAUUGUAAUAAAUUUUUUUAUUAACCUCGUGUUAAAGUUCACUUCUUUGUUGACAUAUUCACACUGUGUUUAUAUUAUGUUAUAAAUAAAUAUUUUUAUUAAGAAUGUGUAAUAGUUUAAUAGUGUUACAUUUUUUAAAAUUGAUAUAAAUAUGUUAUUAUAUAGGUAUGGGACGGGGUGGGUACUAAGGUACCCGUACCCGCACUCAUACCCAUUCAUUUUUACGGGUAAUACCCAUACUCGUGCCCGUACACAAAAUGCGGAUUUUUACCCUACCCGUUGUGAGUAUAUUUUGUGAGUGCUCAUUGGGUAUGAGUCAAAUUAUCAUCCCUACUGUAUGUAAAUAGCCGUAAGUUACUGAAAGAGUAGAGUAUGUCUCACCUUUCUGUAGUCAUAUACUUUUUUUUUUGACAAUAACAAAAUGAUAUUCAUUCAUUCAAAUUGAUAGAUUACAUCAAAUACAAUCACAUAAUCAACAUCGCUAAAAACGUAAAGGAUGAAUCUGCGAACAAAACUCACAGCAUCCGAGUUAAUAGCAUACAACGGCAAAAUGCCUACAACAAAUAAUAUGAUAAAGUUAAAAUCACCGAAGUAUCCAUGCCUNNNNNNNNNNNNNNNNNNNNNNNNNNNNNNNNCUGGAUCUGCAGCGUUGAAGCCCAAAUCAUUGGUUGAAUCUGUAAUUGACUGAAGUCGAUCUUUUCAAUAGAAAUCAAAUGAACACCGCACAAUACGGGACAACAAAAACGUCGCACAAGACGACGAACAAUACAACGCCGCACUCAGAGGGCGAAAUCACAAAAAAGAAAACACAAAAGAAAAACUUGAUCAAUGUGAAGAUCACUUAUUUAAAUAAAGAAGAAAAGGAAAAACAAUUAUGAGGGGUGAUUUUGGGUCAAAAAUUGACCCUAAAACCACCCCUCCUUGAUAGAUCAAGAAAGAAAAAAAAAUUAGGUUAAGGGAGGCGGCGGCUAUGAAGAAAAUGAGAAGAAAAAGUUCUGUAGUCAUAUACUAUAAGCAAACUUAUUGUGUUUUCCAAAUAUACCAUUAAUGUAAAUGAUCUUUUUAGUGAAGGAAUAUUUAUUAUUGUGAAUGUUAAUGCACAUUCUUCUUGUUGUUUUUGUGAUCCUUAUAAUUAACUCUACGUGUCUCUACCCCUUCUUUUUACCAAAAAAAAAAUGUUCACUAUGUAUAAAUAGAGAAUUUGGUUUAUGGUGGUGAGUAGUAAGUUAUGAUGGUGAUGUGUCUUAAUUAUAAUUUAGUUUCAUAUGAGGACCCCAAAGAUAAUUAAUGUAAAUUACAAAAGCUGAUGAAACAAUUGGGGGAAGUGGUGAAUGGUCCUCAAUGUGUUUAGAUUUUGAUGAUGAUAAAUAGUAUUGGGAGAGUGUGAUGGAGUUUAAUGAGAUGUUGGGAGAGAUUGAUCCUCAUAAAUAAAAUAAUUAUUGCUCUGUUUUCUCUUGAAAAAACAAAGAGUUAUUGCAUGUGUGUUAUGUGUUCUGUUUUUGUGUGUUUAGGCUUUUUCAUUUGUAUGGCUUUUUGGUGCAUAACAUUAAUUUGUGGGACAAAAAUACUGUACUGUAUACCGUAACAUGUUCUCUCUCUACACUAACGAUAUGGAAUUCAAAAUAUGCAAAAAAAUAUUUUUUAAAAAAGAUGUAUAAUUAUUACUCAAUUUGUUAGAUAAUUGUGUUUGAAUAAUAUUUUUGUUUUUUCACAACUCAAUUUAGUUUGUAGCAUUUUGAAAAAGUUGACAUUGUUGAAUAAAUAAUAAAACGUGAAUGUACAAAAUAAUAAAAACAAAUGGUGACUUUUAUUGGAUUGUUGCAAUGGUCUAAUUUUGGUUUUGUUAUAAGAAAAAUGCUAAAUAAUGUCCUGGGGCAAUAGUUAACCAUAUUAAAAAGAAAAUUAUGUCUUGGAACUUGUGCAUUCAAUAUUUAAAAAUGGAAAAAGUUAUUUUAUCAACAUUAAAUUUAUCUUUUAUUUCCUAUCUUAGUAUGCUUAACAAGUGUUCGAGGUACUGUUUAGCAUGACCCUUGUUAUAAAUAGUAAAUAUAAGAACGUCCAUGUGUUACAAUAGUUACAUAUAGUAUGAACGUAAAUAUAAUUUGGUUAGCAAGCUUUUUUUUUUGUUUAUAACUCUUUGAUUUCUAGAGAAAGGGACUUUAGUAGUCCAGAGUUCUGGUGGGCAAGCUUUUAUAAUUAUAAGAUAGUUUAAUUAUAAACUAGUUUCCAUUAAAAGAGAAAAAAAUAAUUAAGCAAAUAUCAGGUAGUAGAAAAAAAUAAGGGUGUCAAAAAGAAUUUCCAUAAAAAGUGCUGUUAGAACUUUAAUAGACCUUGAUUGGGCCUGCCUUCAAGACCCAAAACUAUGAGAGUAUUUUUGCUUACACUCCUGUACUUCUUGCGCCCUUCUCAUAUUCAUUUUUACCAAUAUGUUAUUUUAGUAGCAGAUAUUAUAAAAAGGGUCUUGCUAACCAGUGCCUCCGGGGCACUAGUUAAGGAACCAAAAGAAGAAAUAAAAUAAAAGUUGUGCAUGGAAAACAUCAAAAUAUAGACUUUUGUUGUAUUGACUACACAAUUUCCAAGUAAAACUUUCUAAAUUUGAAUUCUUAACGAGUGCUCUUGAAGCACUAUUUAGCAUUUGCCUUAUAAAAAUCAGAAAAAAGAUCUUUUGACAAAUUUAUGUGUCAAAGUUUGAAGCCUCAACUUUAAAUAAAUACAUUAAGGAGUAAUAUAUCAGUAUAAAAAUAUCUUUUAAAUAUUAUAUUUAUAUUAAAUAAGUGAUUAGUCGCUUAUUAUUGACUUUUACAUAUAAAAUAAUUAUUUAAGAGAAAAGAUUUCACUUGCAUCUCCUACAGGUUGCUCACCAUGAAGUUGGAAAUUUUGUAAUUAAAAAAUAGUAAUAAAAAGAAAGUUAUUGAUAUUUUUAGGGUCCGUUUGGUGCACAUGAUAGGAUAGAGAUAGGAUAGGACAAUAAGUUGGAUAAAGAUAGGAUAUGAUAUUGACAUGAUAACACAUAUCAUGUCAUGUGUUUAGGAUAAGAAAGAUGAUAUCAUUAUUUUAUCAUAUCCUAUGUUUGGUACACACUUGAUACUGACAUGAUAAGAUACAUGUUUAUUUAAAUGAAAACAUUAUUCUUAUAAAACACAUACAUUUUUUUAUUAAAAAAAAAACAAUUUUAUAUUUUCAAAUUUCAUUUGAAAUAAUUGUAAAAAAAACACAUAAAAAAACAUAAAAUAAUAAGAACAUAUCAAUUAAUAUUUUUUAAAACAAUUAAAACAAGUAGAUAAAGAUUAGUAUACAGUGAGGAACUCCGUCAAAAAAAAAAAAAGUAUGCAGUGAAGAAUCAAGCAACAGGUAUACAUCCAUAUUAAUAUGUAUUAGUAAGAUAUAUUAAUAAAUAAAUUAUAUAUACCGCAAGAUAUGUACAAAAAAAAUAACGAAUGGAAAAUCAUGAAAAUGCAUCCGGCGGGAAUCAAAGUGAGGGACAAUGAGAUAUGAUUAGUAUAUCCUAUCAGGUUGCUAACCCAACUAAAAUUCAGGAUAAGAAUUAUAACUAGAGAGACAGGAUAAGAUAAGCUUCAGGAUUAACUUAUCAUAUCCUGUCGUGUCACCAAACACUAGAUUGAGACAGGAUAUGAUACAGUUAUCCUAUCCUGUCUCUUAUCCUGUGCACCAAACGGGCCCUUAAUAUUUUUCUAUGGGUGAGUAUAGAAUUUUUAACCUCUUUAUCGCUUAAUUCCUUAACUCAUUCAUCUUAACCAUAAAAUCAUUCUUAUAAACCCUUCAUAGAAGAGAUGUUGGAGAUAAAAUGAAAAAUAUACUAUAAUAGAAUUCGAUGGUUCUACUUCUGUCAAAAAAGAGUAGAUGGUUAAUUGAUUAAUGGUAAAAAAAUAAAAUCAUUUAUGUUUAUAAGUUUUUGUUAAGUGAAAAUCAUUGAUAAGUUUAAUAAUAAAUAUAGAUAUAGGAUGACUUGAAUUGACUAAUUUAAAUUUAUUUGCCUAUAUAAAUAUAAAUUUUGUUAAAUGAAUAGAGGAGUGCUAGCAACACACUCUUUAAUAAACAGACUCUAACACACUCUCUUAUAUUGGUUAAAAUUUAUAUGGGUCCCAUAAAAGUUAUAUGAGUCCACAUUUUUUUGUGGGACCCAUGUGAAUUUCAACCGAUAAAAAAGAGUGUGUUGGAGUGUGUUUGUUAAAGAGUGUGUUGCUAGAUUAUUCUAAUAUCGAAUACACUUACAAUCAUUAAAUACCUUUUUUUACAUAAUGUUUAAUCAUAUAAUUGUGAUAAAACUCAACUUUUUUUUUAAAUAUCUUUUAAUAUUACAAUUUUUUUGUUACAUGUUAGGCUAACUAGACCCGUGCACCACACGGGUCGAAAUUCUAGUUUAACUUAUUUUCAUAAGCUUUUUAAUUUAAUUUUUUUUACGCACUUUAAUAUAACUUUAUACUCCCUCCGGACAUAAAUAUAACGAAAAAAAACUUCAAAUUUUGGUCACUAUUAUAAGCAAAAAUUAACUACUUUUAAACUAAUUAAUACUAUUAUUCCUAAUAUACCCUUAUUUAUUUUUAUUUUAUUUUAGGCAUUAAUUUCACUUUUACACUUUUCAAAAUGGGUAAUAUAGUAAACUUAACUUAUAUUUUGCAUUAAAUCAAAAAAAUUAACUACACUUAACUAAAUUUUUUAAACACCGCGUAUACAGUUUUUUUUGCUUAUAUUUGUAUCCAGAGGAAAUAUACCGGUACAAUUUAUGAAUGCAUUACUAUUUAUGAAUCUAUCACAAUUAUCCACGUCAGCAAUUAUACUAGGUAUUUGGAUUAUCUCCUUUCUAUUUAUCUACAAUUCUCUCUUCUUUUUCUUUUAUGUGUCUUUCUCUCUCAUUUUUUUUCUCUCUUCAUCACUUAUUUAUUUUUUAUUUAUCUCUGCACACAAAGAAAAAGAAAAGAGAAUUAGAGAAGAAAAAAAAAACCAGAGAAUCCAAAUCGGGAUACUAGUAAACAUUAAAUAAAGAGUGUUGCUAAAUGGUACGAAGGAAAGUGGCAACGAAAGGCAAGAAAUGUACAGGUGGGGCAUUGUUAAGAACUCAAAACUAUAAUCUCCUUGUUUCAAGGAAAUCAUGCGAUGCGCGGAUUUGAAAUCAACACACCAGAAUCAUUCUUAUCUUUCGUUACUUGCUAAUUCGUUUCAUCCAGCAUUAUUCAUAUAAUUGUGUUUUAAAGAAUUUACGAUUUAUUUAUGUAAAAAAUAGUCAAUAGUCAAUUUAUAACAUACCACGUGUCCUAAUUUACACGUGGCUUGGCUAUUAUGCACACAUGGGUAUGUCCGCCUCUUAUAUCAUGCCACGUCAACAAAUAGCGUCAUUUAGGUGUUAAGCAAAGGUGACGAUUACUUCACUGAAAAGAGAAGCAAUUAAACAAUGCCACGUGACCCAGACGUAGCAGUAACGAAACCGUAUACCUUCGUGAAAGGAAAAAAAAAAUAUCGUUAAUUGGUUCAGUGAUUGACGCUGAACUUGGUAGGGAGGACCGCGGUUCGAUUCUCUCAACUGCAAUUGAAAAAGUGUUGAACCACUUGAUGUCAGAACUAAACUAACACUCGAACCAGAUUCAAGUAGUGGUAAAAAAAAUAAAAAAAACUUAGCUAUUUAUUUUAUUUUUUUCUCUUUAGAAACUUAGCUAAUUUAAUAAUGAAGCGGAAUUGAUUCAUUGAAACUGGAUACUACCACCAUCAUUUUUCCCCCUAUAUAUAAUCAAUCAGUCACGUGCUAUAGCAGUUGUUGAACCGAAACCGAAGAAUAGAGAAAGAAACAAAGACAGAUGAAAAUGGAGAAUUAUCAGAUCUGGAGCAAGAUUGUGUUAGCGUCGUUUGCGAUUUCUCUUCUAUCCCUAUCCGUCUCAGCAGACGACGUCGUUAUCCUCACUGAAGAUAACUUCGAGAAGGAAGUUGGUCAAGACAAAGGAGCUCUCGUUGAGUUCUACGCCCCUUGGUAACUUUCUCUAUGACUCGAUCCAUUUCCAUGUAUCACACUUCCAUUUUUACCUUAGUUUUUCAUGCUGCUCAAAUUAUUACUGUAUCAUUCUUGAUUUGCAUCGAGUUUUUAUUCAGAUUUGCUUCGAUCCGAUGUGUUUUUUGCUUUCAUAUUGUAGUUUUAUGAUCUGUUGGUUGAUUUACAGUUAUGAUUUAUUGUAGAUUAUACGAUGCCGUUUUGGCUUUUGAUGCAAUUCAGUUCAACUGGAUUCAGUUUAGAUCAUGGUCUUCUAGUUUGUUAAUUAGAGAAAUACUAAGCUCUUGAAGAAAUAAUUUAGAUCAUUAAAUUAAGGUGAUUGUGAUUAUUUGAUUUAAUUACUAAUAAUAUAACUCAGGUUUUUAAUUCCUUCUAUCAAAUGAUUAGAUGAUAAUAUCCCUCAGUUUGAAACUAGAGGGACUAAAAUCUGCAAUUAAGCUCACUAUAACUUAUAAAGAGAAGUUAUAACCAAAAGUAACCAUGUUAUACUACAUACUAAGCCUCUGUGAUUUGGUCUGCAUAAAAUAAAUAGGUUGAUAACUAAUCAGAUCCUUCAUAGUUUAUACUUUAUGGUCCUAAAGAUUAUUUGUCUUGAUGUUAAUUUUGUUAGUUGAAUAUAGGCUAUUUUAUUAGAAUGAAGGAAACAUCUAGGCUAUUUGAUUUUUAUUCUUUGAUUCGUUUGAUACCAUUUUAAGCUUCACGAGUACGAAGCAGAACUUUAAUUAAUUAUACUCACAACUAAGUAGUUUGCCUUUGUAUUUGUAAUGUACAGUAAGUGUUGUAAUUUCAUGCUAGGCAAAGAAAACUUUUUGAAGCGUUAUUGGCCGUGUAAUAACUUAUUAUGCUGUAAAUAAGAUGCACAGUUAACUUAUAAUAGUGUUCCGUUUUAUCUGUCAUAAUAGGUGUGGACACUGCAAAAAGCUUGCUCCGGAAUAUGAAAAGCUUGGUAACAGCUUCAAGAAAUCAAAAUCUGUUUUAAUUGCCAAGGUAAGCUCCCUGGUUUUUCUCUGCAUUUAUACCUUUGAUUUUUGUUCAUAGUUUGUCUGUUACCUUAGUAGUAAAAUGUUUUGCUCUAUUACGGGGCAUGUUGGUGUUGUAUACUUGUCUUCAUAACCGAAGUUGGGAAUUCUUGUUCUCCAUUGUUUACUCUUUACAUAUUUAAAAUGAUAUCUCCUACAAUCCGUAUAUAUGUAUAUUAUGAUGUUGGUAGUAAUUUUAAGUUAGAGGGGGAGGUGGGAGGGAUUGAUCAUCCUUGGGAAGUUAUAUUCUUCACCAAUUUUCCUCAUAACCUUUGAACUUUGUGGUUUCUUUUUGACCUUUCUCAUUGAUGAUUUAAUUAGUACUCUGCACAUAUGGUGAAACUUACUUAUUAAUGUGCUAUAGGUGGACUGUGAUGAGCAUAAGACUGUGUGCAGCAAAUAUGAAGUCUCUGGGUACCCAACGAUUCAGUGGUUUCCAAAGGGAUCUCUGAAACCCAAAAAGUGAGAAGACCUUAACAUUUUAAAAAAUAAAUUAUGAUUUUAUAUCUCAGCUCAUUGUUACUUGUCCUGCAUUUUCACCUCUAUAUAUUGGCAUCUAAUACUUGAUUUUGGAAAAUUCCUGUAGGUUCGAAGGGCCACGCACUGCAGAAUCACUUGCCGAGUUUGUAAAUACAGAAGGAGGUACUAUUUGUAGUUACAAAGCUAGCUGUUGUUGUAAAUGAAUAUCUAUGAAACAAAAACAUUCAGAUAUUAACAUUGUAUAACUUCUAAGUAAACAUAGUGCCUCCCCUCGGAGAUAUAAAAGAGAGCCAUCCUGUAGCAUCAUAUCUUUUUUUAAAGUAUUUUAAUGUAGGGUCGAGUUUAUUGAUAGAGUUUUAGGUUUCAUGUCCUAAAUCAUCAAAAUCUGCACAUUUUAGAUUUUUUUUAGUUUCUAUGGUGGUGUUGAGCAUACACUUGAGCAUGGUUUGCUUUUCCCCUUUUCUUCUGCUGUGUACUUUAUUUGCAUUUGUAUUAUUGUAGUGGAUUUUCUAAACAGAGGUUUUGACUUACAGGAACCAAUGUAAAGAUUGCUGCAGCCCCAUCUCAUGUAGUGGUGCUAACACCUGAAACCUUCAACGAAGUUGUCUUGGAUGAAACCAAAGAUGUCUUGGUUGAAUUUUAUGCACCAUGGUACUGACCAAUAAUUUUCAGAUUGUCACUUCUAAUCUUUAAUUUUAAUUUUUUUUUUGCGUUAAAAUUUUGUAUGUUAGUAAUAUUUCAGUAUCAUUCAUUCAUUGAAUGUUUGUGAAAAAUCUCAAUUACUGCUAUACCUUAUUAACUUUUGUUAUUUUGCCAGGUGUGGACAUUGCAAAAGUCUUGCUCCUGUAAGUUGAUAUCUUUGCAGUUUCCUUUUUAUCAAUUUAAAGUUGAUGCGUUUAUUUUUUUAAAGAGCUAUGCUUAACUUGGCUAUGUUCUUUUGCCCUUCAGAUUUAUGAAAAAGUUGCUGCAGCUUUUAAAUCGGAGGACGAAGUAGUGAUUGCAAAUUUGGAUGCCGACAAAUAUAGGGAUUUGGCUGAAAAGUAAGUUUUAGUUGCCUAAUAUUAAAAGGAAUUAAUUUUUUAUCCGAAUGAAUCAAACUUAAGAAGUGGAGUCCAAUAGAAGUGAAAUUGUUUGGGGCCUACUAGACCAAUAUGCAUGUUGCGUGAUGUGGUUGGAUCUAUUAAUCUUUUACCUACUCAUAUGAUAUUACAUAAUUAAAGUAUGCAAUUAUACUGAUUUACAAGAAAAAAGCGGCGGCCAGUGAAGAUUUGGAGGUUGGAGACUGGGAGAGUAAAAUAUCAUAGAUAAUUAUAGAUUUAUGGAAUAACUUUUUAUGCAGGUAUGAUGUGAGUGGCUUUCCUACCUUGAAGUUCUUCCCUAAGGGAAAUAAAGCCGGUGAAGAUUACGGAGGUGGAAGAGACUUAGAUGACUUUGUUGCUUUUAUCAAUGAGAAAUCUGGAACAAGUCGAGAUGCAAAAGGACAGCUUACUUCUGAGGUUAGUGAAUUCAGAUCAAAGAGAAGCUGUUAUAAAAAAUUUGUGGCAGUGGACAUGGUUGUUUUGGGGGGAUAAAAAGGUCAAAUUGUUGCAUUUAACAUUGUGCUCACACUUGAUAUUUCUGCAUAGGCUGGUAUAGUAGAAGACUUGGACGUUUUGGUGAAGGAGUUUGUAGCUGCUGAUGGCGAAGAGAAGAAGGCCGUAUUUGCCAAAAUAGAAGAGGAAGCUGGGAAGCUUAAGGGCUCUUCUUCUAGGUAAUGUAACAUCACCCCUUUCAGAUUAUUGUCAUGGUUAAUUGCUUGAAAAUUGUGCCCCUAUAGAAUAACUUAAUUCGUGCUGCGUAUACUUUAUGGUACUUGACCCAGUUGUGUUGCUUAAAGCAAAAAAACUAUAGGCGAUAAUGCAACUAUUUUUUUUCUUCCUUUAGAUACGGAAAGAUUUACGUGAAAGCUGCCAAGAAUUACUUGGCGAAAGGUUCUGAUUAUGCUAAGAAUGAAAUUCAGCGCCUAGAGCGCAUACUUGAGAAGGUAAUGUUCUCUUUGCAAAGCAAACCGUUACGUUUCACUUAAUGCAUAAAAUAAUUAGCAUGGUAUACAUUUUAACUUUUUGGUCCUUAAAAGGAGAUUAAGAAGUGUACAAAUUGUUGUAAACAACAUAAUUGUGGCACUCAUUAUCUGUGAUAAUUGAUGCAGUCCAUCAGCCCUGCUAAGGCCGACGAGUUCACUCUAAAGAAAAACAUCUUGUCGACAUAUGCUUGAUUUAAUGGCGCAAAUUCUACCCUCUGUUCUGGAAGCUAGCGUCCCACAGUAGCUCCUUUUGAUGAUUGUUUGACAUUAACAACGAAAUUGCUCGGAGAUUUGCAACGUGGAGACUUGUACUUAAUCUGAUCUGUUUUAAUGAUCCUAUACUAUAGAACAAUUUUGGGGCAAUGAUGAUUAUUCUUUGCCCCAUUGUAGUUUAACUGAGAUCGGUUUUGGGAAGGACGAAAACUUUUACAAUCUGUUUCUUUUGUUGGUUUUUGGUAUCAACUUAUCACACGAAGAUGGUUAAUAUUACAUGACAACAACAAUGAUACAAGACGAUGAUAGUUUUGUCAAAACAAUAAAAUAAAGACAAUGAUGAUAGUUAAUUCAUGAUAAGUAGCCAUAAUUUGCAUUAGGUCUAGAUAUCAAAUUUCUUUGGUCGCAAUUUGAAAUUUGUAUCUCUUGGAUAUCUCUUAUAAUUUCUGGUAGCCUGGUAGAAGAGUGUACGCGAGUAGAUUUUUUAAUGUGGGAAUUUAAUAGUAAAGUUGAAGAGUUUCUAAAGUGUUAAAAAUAUGUUAAACAUAACUAAAUAGACAGUUUUAAUCAAUCAUAUGAUAGUUAUACGUAUAUGACUUGAAGUUUUAUUGUAGCGCACUCCUUAUGCAGGAGAAGAUAACGUAAAGGAGUGGAUUUUUAAAUGUGACAAUUCAAUAAUAAGUCAUCUUGUUUGUUUGGUUCCACAUUCAAGAGCCUCGUGCGCACAUUCAAAUGAUCAAACGUGAUUUCAAAUUUUGAAUGAGACACAAGAAUGUUUGGAUAUGAUUUUAUAGUGAUUCAAUCUAUUGGAAUUGAUUCCACUUAAAGCAGCAUUUCCUAACUUUCGCAAUUAACCGUAACAAUAGAUUAUUAUGUAUCAAAUCAAGAUGAUUUAUUAACUUUGCCCCAACACAAUGACUAUUUUAAUUAUUAACUAUGAAGAUUACGUGCAACUCAUUUUUAAUCAAAAUACAUUUCAUCAACUAAUCAUUAGUUGGUUAAGUGGUGAUUAGCGUUGAACUUGGUAGGGAGGACUACGGUUUGAUCCCCGCAACUGCGAUCGAGAGGGGGCUGAAACCACUUAAUGUCAGAACUGAUCCUGAACUAGAUUAAACUGGUUGUGAAAGUGUAAAAAAAAAAAAAUUAUCAAAUUAAAAUCUCACCGCCUAAGCACCAACAGUUGAACAUAGUUGUAACUUAUAAGCAAUAAUAUGACACUUAAAUGAACUGUUGUAGUUAAUAGUUAUAUUCUGAUCAAUAGUUUGUAACUUGUAAUGCUUUAACAUGGUUGAUUUUUUUUUUCUCUCUCUCUCUUUGCUCAGUUAUUCUUUGGGUCAUAUUGAUCUUGCUUUUUCUAAUAUAUGCAUAACUAAUUAAUGAGGAAACUUAGAAUUAAGCACAAGAAUGCUCAAGACAAUUGUUUUGCUGAUUCCUAUACCUAUGAUAUGCAUGGGAUAGUUCUAUACCAAACAAAUGCAAAAUAUCACCAUCUCUUGGUUUUUUUGGUCACAGAAUCCCCCCUAUAGCUGAUGCAUUUUGAUUUUUCAUGGAUUUUCAUGAUUAAUGAAGAAUGUAAUAAUUUGGGAUUGGGAAAGAGCUCUAUUUAAGAAUGCACAGGGUUUGAUCUUUCUUCCUUUCCAUUUCAUUUAAUAGAGGUGAUUAUAUGAAGUGUUGAGAUAGAUCAUGCUAAUAGAGGUGUUAUCUUCAGUGGCAUUGUUCUGUGCAAAUAUGCAGAAUACUAGAAAAUUGGUGGGUCAGAUACGUAAAUAAUUGAACGAACCUAAAAAGUAUGAAGUAUAAAGGGACAUUUUUUGACAAGAAAUGUUAGUCUUGAUGUCAAAAUAUUAGCUUUCAAAAUUCAAACAGUAUUUUAUCGGUGUGUUCAUCUUCAUCAUACAAGGUAAACCUCAAAUUAAUAUGUUUUGUUGUUUGUUGAGCUUUUGAGUUUUGUAUUUGUUAUAUCUUAUCAAUUUUUUAUGCUUUUGAAUAUGGUAUAGCUUUGUUGUGCUUUUGAGUUUGUUAUAGUAGCUUGUUUAUGCUUUUGACACUGUUGUCAGUGUUGUUUAUGAUUCUUUAAAUUGUAUUGAAUUUGAAGAAUGAGUUUGUGGGAAUAUUUACUUGAGAAGAUAAAUAAUGCCAUGGUGGGAGGACAUAUUCCUCCAAUAAGAUUAAAUUCUAGACAUUUCCUUUUGGUCAUAACUCACACAUGCAAACCGUUUCACAUCAGAGACUAUUUUUCUAUUUGUGCAUGUCAUCCUUGCACAUGGGCCAUGCUAAUCUUCGCUGUAUCGUUUCACAUCAGAGACUAACAAACUCCUCCCAAUGAGUUAAUAACUAACCUCCAGAAUCUACUGAUUUCGGACUCAUAUCUAAGACUCUGCAAGGCUUAUUGUCAUGGUUAAACUCAGUUUCCGGAAUACUUAUCGGCGAACACUCUUCAAUUUGAUAAUCUCUCUCGUCAACCAAAGAUUUCAUAUAUGAGCAUGGUCUUUCCUCGGGAUCAAUAUUAGGAGGCGGCUCUUGACCGGAACCAAAUGGCAGCUCCAAAGAUGUAGAGCCAGGAGGAUGUGUUCUCAUCUGCACGGAUCUUAAAAGUGCAGCUCUUCUUAAGUCAGCUGAGUGGCAUAUAUCACUUGGUGAUGAUGGGAAGCGGCCAUCGGAGUCUGAGCUUCGCUGACGAGGCUGAGAACAAGCAGAGACUGGAAAGCCAUGAGAAGCAUUUAAACUUGUUGAAGGCCCUGAAGAAAAUGCGUUUUGUGAUCGUUGGUACCUGCAUGGAGAAACUGGACUACUAGGACGGCUAUCUGGAUUGGAUGAGCAACUAUGCACCGCGGUCUCGCAAAACCUUGAGUCAUCUGAAUCUUCUGACAUCGGUGAAUAUUGUAAAGACAUAUCAUCCCUAAAAAUAAGUUAAACAAAAUAAAUCACCUGAGAUAGGUUCGGUAAGCACCAGGAAAAUAGGAUACUAAGUAAACUAUCCAAAACCCGAAUCGUGUUUAUCAUACAAUAUGAGUAAAAGUAUAAAACCAUAAAAAUGUGUGUAAGGAAAUACAUAUAUAACCAUACACAUAAGGGCUGGGAAUGUAACAAAAAUUUGAACACAAGAAAUAGUAAAUACAAUGAGUUAACAACACAAAUACUUCUUACCAUAGAUGUAGCUUCAUAUGAAUUCUUUUGAAGUUAUUUAUUUGUAAAUAGAGUUUAAAUCGUAUGAAGACUGGAAAAAUGCUUGUGGUGUGUAAAAAUGACCGUAAGAGAAAUCAAGCACCGUGCUUUUGGUUGACUCUAGACUUCCCAAGAAAACAUUUCUAUUGUUGCUUUUAACAAACUUUUUAUGCUAAUAUGUUCUACAAGUCUGGUGGAGUAUACAGUCCCUAUGGCUGGAAAGUAAAUGGCCCUGAAGUCUAGUUCCUACUCAUCGUUGCGUCCUACUUUUAUAUCAAAUAGUCGAAAUAAAGGGCUAAAAAGCCACACUACCAAAAGGUAGAGAUUGAACAUGAACGUAGUGGAAUUUCUACGGUCUACAUGACUACUUAUUACUCUGUGUUAUGACAGCCAAAACUACUACAUUUGAAAGGUUGAAAUAGUUGAGUUAUAGAGCAUAUAAGGCUAUACGAUAGAUUCACUUGAGAGAACGAUGCACUGAUGACGAAUGAAUAUCUUAAAUAGUAUGAGUAUGAUGCGCAAAUAAAGACCUCAUACCUACUUCAGGGUUUGAAGUUUGUUGCCAACAAAAUCAUGGAUAAAAUUUUGUGGUCAUCUUUCAUUUUGGAAUACCAAAGGGAUCAUCAUUCACAACACUUAUGGAUUCAAAAGUGCAAAACUAUAAGCCAAACUAUUACGAAAGAUUACGAGUUAAAUUAUACGAAGCUAGCUCGCAAAUUGCACAUGUCUNNNNNNNNNNNNNNNNNNNNNNNNNNNNNNNNNNNNNNNNNNNNNNNNNNNNNNNNNNNNNNNNNNNNNNNNNNNNNNNNNNNNNNNNNNNNNNNNNNNNNNNNNNNNNNNNNNNNNNNNNNNNNNNNNNNNNNNNNNNNNNNNNNNNNNNNNNNNNNNNNNNNNNNNNNNNNNNNNNNNNNNNNNNNNNNNNNNNNNNNNNNNNNNNNNNNNNNNNNNNNNNNNNNNNNNNNNNNNNNNNNNNNNNNNNNNNNNNNNNNNNNNNNNNNNNNNNNNNNNNNNNNNNNNNNNNNNNNNNNNNNNNNNNNNNNNNNNNNNNNNNNNNNNNNNNNNNNNNNNNNNNNNNNNNNNNNNNNNNNNNNNNNNNNNNNNNNNNNNNNNNNNNNNNNNNNNNNNNNNNNNNNNNNNNNNNNNNNNNNNNNNNNNNNNNNNNNNNNNNNNNNNNNNNNNNNNNNNNNNNNNNNNNNNNNNNNNNNNNNNNNNNNNNNNNUUUGUGGUCAUCUUUCAUUUUGGAAUACCAAAGGGAUCAUCAUUCACAACACUUAUGGAUUCAAAAGUGCAAAACUAUAAGCCAAACUACUAAAGCAAUGUAAUACUUAUAGAACAUACGUAGCCGCGAUCUUACCUGAGAGAGAACGCACUUUCCGACCUUGCUGGAGAUUCCAUGAGAUUAUCAGGAAGUGUGUCUCCAACUGUCAAUCCAUUAAGACUAGAUGCCAUUAUCUGGAAAGUAAAACAAAAAAUUAAGCAACUCUAAUUCAAAGCCUAUAAUAACCAACUUCAUUUCCUUAUACCUAUAAACAAAUCAUACAUAAAAAUUUAAAAUCAUCUAAUACCAAAUUAAACAAAAAUCUAAAUGAUCAAAACAAGCAUCUCCAUCAAACAAAAAACACCUUCUUGAAUAGUGUUUCACCUCAGUUAUCCAAACAAUGUAGUGUCUCAUUUACAAAAUGCCCUCAAACCAAGUUUCAAUUUUGAACAAUAAUCUACAAUCUAUUCAAAACCAAAUAUUCAUAAAAUUAAUAUUGCUAUUUCUCCACAGCAUAAUAAUAAUAACUUCUAAAGAUCACAAAGAUACGAAUAUUAAAACAAACAAUAAAUAUGUACCAAAAAAAAUAAAACAAGCAAUAAAUUCAAAACACCAAAACAUUGUUAAAAAAAUAAAACCAAAACAUGAAGAAGAACUGAAACCUAGAAACUAAAAAAACUAAAAAAAAUUGGAAGUUAUGUGAAGGUUAAAUAUUUUAAAAUAAAAUAUGAAAAAACGACAAUAAUAAGACAAAAAAACAAAGACAAAAGGUAAAUGAGACAAACAACUAUGUUUAACCUCGCUUAGGUAACGUUUGUGAGAACGAAGAUUGUCGACAUAAACUUCUUCUUCAGGGUCUCUAGUGCGUUUAGCACUAGGUGAAGAGGAAGAUGGUGACCCACCCAAAUUCGAAUCGAAACCCAUUGUUGGAUUCAACGCAAAGAAUUUUCUUUGAGGUAAAAAAGGGUUAUUCAAUGUUGCGAUUUUUGAGCAAAAAGUGAAGGUUUGGAGUUUGUUCUGUCUUCCGCCAUGAAUGAAAACACAGAGUGAAACGUGGAGCUGUAUCUGAGUUUUUUUUUUGUGUGUGCUGAAAAUACGAUUGGAGUGUAGUGUAGCAUGUUUUCAUUAAUGUGGUUUAUGAUGGUAGAUCCACUCUUAGUGAUGGACACGUGUUUUGUCUUUGUCAUCACUAAUUUAGUCAUUCGCGGUUCGAGAAAGAAUUACGGUUUAGGUUUGAACGGUUUAGGUUUGAGAGAAAGAUGAAAGAGAAACUAUAGAUAAGAUAAGAUAAGAUGAUAGAGAUGGACGACAAAAGUAAUUUGAUUUUCUCGACUUAAAGGUAGUUAAUCUCGAAUUCGGCCUGUUGGACAUUUUGUUAUAAGGAUUACCUACAAUACUUAUGGUUCGUUUGAUCUGCAAAAUAUAAAUACUGGACAGAACAGUACAUGACAGUACAAGACAGAACAACACAAGACAAAUGUUUAAAGUAUUGAACAAACUUUGUGUUGUAUGAUGUUUGGUGGACAAAAGGUUAUUUUGGUAUUUUAGACAAUUUGUGCUGAGGACAAAAAGUUGUCUCGUGGUUCUGUGGGGGACAAGAAUUUCAAGUUUUGUCCUGUCCCUUGGCCACCUGUUUGUCCAGUACCAGAAAGAGUUCUAAAAUCAAACACAGCACAGUUGUCCUGUCCAGUCCAUUAUUUUUUAGCAGAUCAAACGCACCCUUAGACUUGUACCGGAUGGGUUACUACAUCACACUGUUACUCAUCUUAGCUUAUGAUUUGGAAUUGACAGACAAGAUUGUUUGCAAAUGAAUUUGUUAGUGGAUAAUUUAAAUUGUUGUCUGGUUGUAAUUAAUUAAUAGUUGAGAUAUAAAAUGGUGUAUUGUUUUUACUUUUUACGGACGAUAAUUUGGGUUCACGUAAUGCGAAUAUAAUUUUUCUAUUGUAUUUGUAGAUGAUUACAUUUAUAUGCGGUUGAGGAUUUAGACCACUGUUUAAUUUUUUAUUUCUCCUCUUCAAAGAAAUUAGAUUAAAUUGAUUUUUUUACAAAAAAUAAAAGAGAUUAUCUUUUAUGUAUAAAUUAGAAUUGAAGAACCAACAAGGUUUUGGGUAUAACAAAUAUGUUAAGCCUCUACAACGUGGUGCAUCAUGAUUCUUGUUGGGAGAAGUGCUUACAUUUAGUAUCUCACAUUUCUCAAAUAAAAAUACUUUUAAUGAGAGAGAGUGCAUUUUUCAAUGUCAUACUAUUAAUUUGAGAAUACACUUACAAUAGCAAAGCAAAAUGAAAAAUAAUAAUUUUUUAUUAGAUACCCGUGUAAAAUGAUUUGACACUAACUGUUUUUAUCUGAAGUAUAUUUUAAAUCUCUCUCUCUAGUUGAAUAAAAAUUAUCGUCCUAGUUGAAUAAAAACUUUGUACGAUUAUGUACCUAAAAAAAAGCUUUAUACGACUAAAUUAAAAAAUUAUGUACAAUACUAGUUGUUUUGGCAAAAGACUCGGUUAUUAU
This 19148-nucleotide long non-coding RNA is filed under the name Trifolium pratense (red clover). RNAcentral describes it as "long non-coding RNA (TPRA_LNC009977)". Lineage: Eukaryota; Viridiplantae; Streptophyta; Magnoliopsida; Fabales; Fabaceae. The record is from RNAcentral.